RNAcentral lists this ribosomal RNA (301 nucleotides) under uncultured bacterium. RNAcentral's name for it is "partial 16S ribosomal RNA". It matches the Rfam family "Bacterial small subunit ribosomal RNA", at positions 509 to 807 of the family's 1533-position model. The record is from RNAcentral.
CAGUCGCCACGGGAAUACGUAGGGUGCGAGCGUUAAUCGGAAUUACUGGGCGUAAAGCGUGCGCAGGCGGUUGUGCAAGACAGAUGUGAAAUCCCCGAGCUUAACUUGGGAACUGCAUUUGUGACUGCACGGCUAGAGUGUGUCAGAGGGGGGUAGAAUUCCACGUGUAGCAGUGAAAUGCGUAGAUAUGUGGAGGAAUACCGAUGGCGAAGGCAGCCCCCUGGGAUAACACUGACGCUCAUGCACGAAAGCGUGGGGAGCAAACAGGAUUAGAUACCCCGGUAGUCCCUGUCUCUUAUAC